RNAcentral lists this ribosomal RNA (253 nucleotides) under uncultured bacterium. Its description in RNAcentral is "partial 16S ribosomal RNA". It matches the Rfam family "Bacterial small subunit ribosomal RNA", at positions 524 to 776 of the family's 1533-position model. The record is from RNAcentral.
UACAGAGGGUGCAAGCGUUGUUCGGAAUUAUUGGGCGUAAAGCGCGUGUAGGCGGCUUUGCAAGUCUUGUGUGAAAUCCCUCGGCUUAACCGAGGAAGUGCGCAAGAAACUGCAGAGCUUGAGUACCGGAGAGGAUGGUGGAAUUCCCCAAGUAGAGGUGAAAUUCGUAGAUAUGGGGAGGAACACCGGUGGCGAAGGCGACCAUCUGGACGGAUACUGACGCUGAGACGCGAAAGCGUGGGGAGCAAACGGG